UACGAAGGGUGCAACCGUUGCCCGGAAUUAUUGGGCGUAAAGCGCACGUAGGCGGCUUAGCAAGUCGGACGUGAAAUCCCUCGGCUCAACCAAGGAAGUGCUUUCGAAACUGCUGAGCUUGAGUACUUAAGAGGAUCGCGGAAUUCCCGGUGUAGAGGUGAAAUUCGUAGAUAUCGGGAGGAACACCAGUGGCGAAGGCGGCGAUCUGGGAAGAUACUGACGCUGAGGUGCGAAAGCGUGGGGAGCAAACAGG
Molecule: ribosomal RNA, 253 nt
Filed under: uncultured bacterium
Lineage: Bacteria
Description: partial 16S ribosomal RNA
Rfam family: Bacterial small subunit ribosomal RNA
Source: RNAcentral